AACGCACAUUGCGCCCCCUGGCAUUCCGGGGGGCAUGCCUGUUCGAGCGUCAUUACACCAAUCAAGCCUGGCUUGGUAUUGGGCGACGGGGCCGUCACACGCCCCGUGCCCCAAUGACUCCCCGGCGGGACGGACUGUAUCUCAGCGUUGUGCAAAUGUCGCUGGCGAUUUACGGGACGGCCGUGCCGUGAAAACCUCAUUCAUAAGGUUGACCUCGGAUCAGGUAGGGAUACCCGCUGAACUUAA
RNAcentral lists this unclassified non-coding RNA (246 nucleotides) under uncultured fungus. Its description in RNAcentral is "partial contains 5.8S ribosomal RNA, internal transcribed spacer 2, and large subunit ribosomal RNA". The record is from RNAcentral. Lineage: Eukaryota; Fungi.